CGUAGGGGCAAGCGUUGUCCGGAUUUAUUGGGCGUAAAGGGCGCGCAGGCGGCCUCUUAAGUCAGUUGUGAAAGGUCCCGGCUCAACCGGGGAGCGGCAGCUGAAACUGGGAGGCUUGAGUGCAGGAGAGGAGAGCGGAAUUCUCGGUGUAGCGGUGGAAUGCGUAGAGAUCGGGAGGAACACCAGUGGCGAAGGCGGCUCUCUGGCCUGUUACUGACGCUGAGACGCGAAAGCGUGGGGAGCGAACAGGAUU
This 253-nucleotide ribosomal RNA is filed under the name uncultured bacterium. RNAcentral describes it as "partial 16S ribosomal RNA". It matches the Rfam family "Bacterial small subunit ribosomal RNA", at positions 526 to 779 of the family's 1533-position model. The record is from RNAcentral.